Molecule: transfer RNA, 84 nt
Filed under: Fulvimarina sp.
Lineage: Bacteria; Pseudomonadati; Pseudomonadota; Alphaproteobacteria; Hyphomicrobiales; Aurantimonadaceae
Description: tRNA-Leu
Rfam family: tRNA
About the family: Transfer RNA (tRNA) molecules are approximately 80 nucleotides in length.
Source: RNAcentral
GCGGGCGUGGCGGAAUGGUAGACGCAAGGGACUUAAAAUCCCUGGGCCCAGGUCAUGCGGGUUCGAGUCCCGCCGCCCGUACCA